This 225-nucleotide non-coding RNA is filed under the name Paraburkholderia sabiae. Its description in RNAcentral is "Bp1_781". It matches the Rfam family "Burkholderia sRNA Bp1_Cand871_SIPHT". Lineage: Bacteria; Pseudomonadati; Pseudomonadota; Betaproteobacteria; Burkholderiales; Burkholderiaceae. The record is from RNAcentral.
UCGCCCACAAUGCCUUUCACGGGUUCAGCAAGGAUGCGGCCGGGUAGUAGUGUCUGCGGACACAUUCCAAGGCCGGUCGACGCAGGCGUCGAAGCUCUUCCAAGGGGCAUCUCUGCUGGAGUCGUGAUCGGCGUCGAUCGCGCCGGUUGUUGAUUCCUCCAAUGGUCUCCUCGCGCUAACCCCGUAGCGUGUGGUUUUUAGCGGGCUCCAGGCCCGCUUUUUUUU